Molecule: unclassified non-coding RNA, 356 nt
Filed under: uncultured fungus
Lineage: Eukaryota; Fungi
Description: partial contains 5.8S ribosomal RNA and internal transcribed spacer 2
Rfam family: 5.8S ribosomal RNA (bases 1-133)
Source: RNAcentral
UGGUUCUCGCAUCGAUGAAGAACGCAGCGAAACGCGAUAGGUAAUGUGAAUUGCAGAAUUUAGUGAAUCAUCGAAUCUUUGAACGCACAUUGCGCUCCCUGGUAUUCCUAGGAGCAUGUCUGUCCGAGCGUCAGUACACACCCUCCGUCAACCUCUUUGCUGGGGUUCGAUCGGGUCCUGAGCGGUGGGAGCCAUCCGUGGCCUCGCCCUCUAAAGUGGAAAGCCAGCGGCCCGCCUGCCCAUGAAAGACGUAGUAAUAUCUCAAUGAAUCGUCCGCGAAAGGGUUGUAGGUUGGACUCGCCUCAAAUCUUUACUCAUCAAGGUUUGACCUCGGAUCAGACAAGAAUACCCGCUGA